RNAcentral lists this ribosomal RNA (446 nucleotides) under uncultured bacterium. RNAcentral's name for it is "partial 16S ribosomal RNA". It matches the Rfam family "Bacterial small subunit ribosomal RNA", at positions 338 to 795 of the family's 1533-position model. The record is from RNAcentral.
CCUACGGGAGGCAGCAGUCGAGAAUCAUUCACAAUGGGGGAAACCCUGAUGGUGCGACGCCGCGUGGGGGAAUGAAGGUCUUCGGAUUGUAAACCCCUGUCAUGUGGGAGCAAAUUAAAAAGAUAGUACCACAAGUGGAAGAGACGGCUAACUCUGUGCGAACAGCCGCGGUAAUACAGAGGUCUCAAGCGUUGUUAGGAAUCACUGGGCGUAAAGGGUGCGUAGGCUGUUGCGUAAGGCGUGUGUGAAAGGCGCGGGCUCAACCCGCGGACGGCACAUGAUACUGCGAGACUAGAGUAAGGGAGGGGGAACCGGAAUUCUCGGUGUAGCAGUGAAAUGCGUAGAUAUCGAGAGGAACACUCGUGGCGAAGGCGGGUUCCUGGACAUUAACUGACGCUGAGGCACGAAGGCCAGGGGAGCGAAAGGGAUUAGAUACCCUAGUAGUC